CAGUAGCCGCGGGAAUACGUAGGGUGCAAGCGUUAAUCGGAAUUACUGGGCGUAAAGCGUGCGCAGGCGGUUAUAUAAGACAGAUGUGAAAUCCCCGGGCUCAACCUGGGAACUGCAUUUGUGACUGUAUAGCUAGAGUACGGCAGAGGGGGAUGGAAUUCCGCGUGUAGCAGUGAAAUGCGUAGAUAUGCUGAGGAACACCGAUGGCGAAGGCAAUCCCCUGGGCCUGUACUGACGCUCAUGCACGAAAGCGUGGGGAGCAAACAGGAUUAGAUACCCGCGUAGUCCCUGUCUCUUAUAC
This 301-nucleotide ribosomal RNA is filed under the name uncultured bacterium. RNAcentral's name for it is "partial 16S ribosomal RNA". It matches the Rfam family "Bacterial small subunit ribosomal RNA", at positions 509 to 807 of the family's 1533-position model. The record is from RNAcentral.